AAAUUGAAGAGUUUGAUCAUGGCUCAGAUUGAACGCUGGCGGCAGGCCUAACACAUGCAAGUCGAGCGGUAGCACAGGAGAGCUUGCUCUCUGGGUGACGAGCGGCGGACGGGUGAGUAAUGUCUGGGAAACUGCCUGAUGGAGGGGGAUAACUACUGGAAACGGUAGCUAAUACCGCAUAACCUCGCAAGAGCAAAGAGGGGGACCUUCGGGCCUCUCGCCAUCAGAUGUGCCCAGAUGGGAUUAGCUAGUAGGUGAGGUAAUGGCUCACCUAGGCGACGAUCCCUAGCUGGUCUGAGAGGAUGACCAGCCACACUGGAACUGAGACACGGUCCAGACUCCUACGGGAGGCAGCAGUGGGGAAUAUUGCACAAUGGGCGCAAGCCUGAUGCAGCCAUGCCGCGUGUGUGAAGAAGGCCUUCGGGUUGUAAAGCACUUUCAGCGGGGAGGAAGGCGGUAAGGUUAAUAACCUUAUCGAUUGACGUUACCCGCAGAAGAAGCACCGGCUAACUCCGUGCCAGCAGCCGCGGUAAUACGGAGGGUGCAAGCGUUAAUCGGAAUGACUGGGCGUAAAGCGCACGCAGGCGGUCUGUUAAGUUGGAUGUGAAAUCCCCGGGCUUAACCUGGGAACUGCAUUCAAAACUGACAGGCUAGAGUCUUGUAGAGGGGGGUAGAAUUCCAGGUGUAGCGGUGAAAUGCGUAGAGAUCUGGAGGAAUACCGGUGGCGAAGGCGGCCCCCUGGACAAAGACUGACGCUCAGGUGCGAAAGCGUGGGGAGCAAACAGGAUUAGAUACCCUGGUAGUCCACGCUGUAAACGAUGUCGACUUGGAGGUUGUGCCCUUGAGGCGUGGCUUCCGGAGCUAACGCGUUAAGUCGACCGCCUGGGGAGUACGGCCGCAAGGUUAAAACUCAAAUGAAUUGACGGGGGCCCGCACAAGCGGUGGAGCAUGUGGUUUAAUUCGAUGCAACGCGAAGAACCUUACCUACUCUUGACAUCCAGAGAAUUUGCUAGAGAUAGCUUAGUGCCUUCGGGAACUCUGAGACAGGUGCUGCAUGGCUGUCGUCAGCUCGUGUUGUGAAAUGUUGGGUUAAGUCCCGCAACGAGCGCAACCCUUAUCCUUUGUUGCCAGCGAUUCGGUCGGGAACUCAAAGGAGACUGCCGGUGAUAAACCGGAGGAAGGUGGGGAUGACGUCAAGUCAUCAUGGCCCUUACGAGUAGGGCUACACACGUGCUACAAUGGCGUAUACAAAGAGAAGCGACCUCGCGAGAGUAAGCGGACCUCAUAAAGUACGUCGUAGUCCGGAUUGGAGUCUGCAACUCGACUCCAUGAAGUCGGAAUCGCUAGUAAUCGUAGAUCAGAAUGCUACGGUGAAUACGUUCCCGGGCCUUGUACACACCGCCCGUCACACCAUGGGAGUGGGUUGCAAAAGAAGUAGGUAGCUUAACCUUCGGGAGGGCGCUUACCACUUUGUGAUUCAUGACUGGGGUGAAGUCGUAACAAGGUAACCGUAGGGGAACCUGCGGUUGGAUCACCUCCUUACCAAAAAGA
This 1551-nucleotide ribosomal RNA is filed under the name Pectobacterium parvum. Its description in RNAcentral is "bacterial SSU rRNA". It matches the Rfam family "Bacterial small subunit ribosomal RNA". The record is from RNAcentral. Lineage: Bacteria; Pseudomonadati; Pseudomonadota; Gammaproteobacteria; Enterobacterales; Pectobacteriaceae.